This 649-nucleotide ribosomal RNA is filed under the name uncultured bacterium. RNAcentral's name for it is "bacterial SSU rRNA". It matches the Rfam family "Bacterial small subunit ribosomal RNA", at positions 43 to 681 of the family's 1533-position model. The record is from RNAcentral.
CAGGCCUAACACAUGCAAGUCGAGCGGCAGCGGGAAGUAGCUAGCUACUUUGCCGGCGAGCGGCGGACGGGUGAGUAACGCGUGGGAAUCUACCCAUUUGUGGGGGAUAACUUGGGGAAACUCAAGCUAAUACCGCAUAAUCCCUACGGGGGAAAGCAGGGGAUCUUCGGACCUUGCGCAGAUGGAUGAGCCCGCGUCGGAUUAGCUAGUUGGUAGGGUAAAGGCCUACCAAGGCGACGAUCCGUAACUGGUCUGAGAGGAUGACCAGUCACAUCGGGACUGAGACACGGCCCGAACUCCUACGGGAGGCAGCAGUGGGGAAUCUUGGACAAUGGGGGCAACCCUGAUCCAGCCAUGCCGCGUGUGUGAAGAAGGCCCUAGGGUUGUAAAGCACUUUCAGUAGGGAGGAAGGCUUCGGGUUAAUACCCUGGAGUACUUGACGUUACCUACAGAAGAAGCACCGGCUAAUUUCGUGCCAGCAGCCGCGGUAAUACGAAAGGUGCGAGCGUUAAUCGGAAUUACUGGGCGUAAAGCGCGCGUAGGCGGUUAGUUAAGUCGGAUGUGAAAGCCCAGGGCUCAACCUUGGAACUGCAUCCGAUACUGGCUAGCUAGAGUGCAGUAGAGGGAGGUGGAAUUUCCGGUGUAGCGG